GCAUAAUAAAUAGUUUUUUAAUUGGAAACUGGAAUGAAGGGUAAUUACUAAAUGGAAGGUUUUAUUUUAUGAAUUUGAAUUUAAAUUAAAAGUAAAAAUGCUUUUAUAGUACCUUGGGACGAGAAGACCCUAAAAGCUUAAAAUUAGACUAAUUUUUGUUGGGGCAACAUUUGAAGAUAAAUAUUUUUAUUAGCAUGAAUUUUAUUUAAAUAUAUAAGUUACUUUAGGGAUAACAGCGUUAUUUAAUUAGCAAGUUCUUAUUAAUAAUUAAGGUUGCGACCUCGAUGUUGAAUUAAAU
RNAcentral lists this ribosomal RNA (298 nucleotides) under Eusarcus hastatus. RNAcentral's name for it is "partial 16S ribosomal RNA". Lineage: Eukaryota; Metazoa; Arthropoda; Arachnida; Opiliones; Gonyleptidae. The record is from RNAcentral.